GAUGAACGCUAGCGGCAGGCUUAAUACAUGCAAGUCGUGGGGCAGCAUGAGUAGCAAUACUUGAUGGCGACCGGCAAACGGGUGAGGAACACGUACACAACCUUCCUUCAAGCGGGGAAUAGCCCAGAGAAAUUUGGAUUAAUACCCCAUAAUAUAUUUGAUAAGGCAUCUUAUUAAUAUUAAAGCUUCGGCACUUGAUGAUGGGUGUGCGGCUGAUUAGAUAGUUGGCGGGUAACGGCCCGACCAAGUCUACGAUCAGUAGCUGAUGUGAGAGCAUGAUCAGCCACACGGGCACUGAGACACGGGCCCGACUCCUACGGGAGGCAGCAGUAAGGAAUAUUGGACAAUGGACGAAAGUCUGAUCCAGCCAUGCCGCGUGAAGGAUUAAGGUCCU
RNAcentral lists this ribosomal RNA (394 nucleotides) under uncultured bacterium. RNAcentral describes it as "bacterial SSU rRNA". It matches the Rfam family "Bacterial small subunit ribosomal RNA", at positions 28 to 418 of the family's 1533-position model. The record is from RNAcentral.